RNAcentral lists this ribosomal RNA (253 nucleotides) under uncultured bacterium. Its description in RNAcentral is "partial 16S ribosomal RNA". It matches the Rfam family "Bacterial small subunit ribosomal RNA", at positions 524 to 776 of the family's 1533-position model. The record is from RNAcentral.
UACGGAGGGUGCGAGCGUUGUCCGGAAUCACUGGGCGUAAAGGGCGCGUAGGCGGCGCGGGAAGUCAUCGGUGAAAGUUCAGGGCUCAACUCUGAAUCGGCCGGUGAUACUCUCGUGCUCGAGCACUGUAGAGGCAGGUGGAAUUCCGGGUGUAGCGGUGGAAUGCGUAGAGAUCCGGAAGAACACCGGUGGCGAAGGCGGCCUGCUGGGCAGUUGCUGACACUGAGGCGCGACAGCGUGGGGAGCAAACAGG